Long non-coding RNA from Centrocercus urophasianus (Greater sage-grouse), 2061 nucleotides. RefSeq lists it as uncharacterized. The transcript has 2 exons. The record is from RefSeq and is a predicted model, not a curated record. NCBI's taxonomy places the organism in Eukaryota, Metazoa, Chordata, Aves, Galliformes, Phasianidae.
CAGCGGCCGCAACCCGCGCGGCGCCGCCGCCUCUCGCCUCUGCUUCGCCCUUCUCCUCGGGAGCAGGAGAGCUCCGCUGCCGGCUUCGUGGUCCCGCAGGUGUACGUCCGCCCUUGUCUGUGUACGGCUGCGUCCCUUCCUAUCGAGUGACUAGCGUGCCAUAAAUCUGCCAUAGGUCUCGUGAAUCUCUCCUCGUUGCCAUGGGUAGCUGUAUUUUGAGACGUUUAGAAGCUGUAGUAGCCUUUUCUACCUGCACCUUAACGAUUUUCUGUGUCUCGAAAUUGAAAUAUUUACCAAGCCACUCUAAAAUUUGAUUUGUACUGAAAGUGGCCCGAUUAUUUGUGUAAUAGCGACGAGAAAAAUCAUCUGGGAAGAUACAAAACCUAAUAUAUUUUUGUAUUUAGUUAUAGUUUCCAGUAUGUAUAAUCGGUAUAUUCGCUGAUCUGAGAAAAGAAGGGAAGGGCUACUGCAGCUUUAAAAGCAAUUUAUUAAUGACUGUAAAAUAGCUUGUAUAGUGUAUAAUAAGGAUGAUUUUUAGAUGACAGAUUGCUUUAUCAUGAUACAUGUAAUUAUAUUUUUUGUAGGGGUCACGGAUGUGCUGAAUGGUAACCCGUGCCAGCCGUGCUUUGUCUGGAGGUAGUGCUGAAGGCACUGACAUUCAGCAUCCAAAGAAGUACUCUGUCAGAAAGAAACAAAAAGCAAACCUGUGUUCAGUGGCUGUUUCUAAGGUUGAAUUUGCAUUUCUCCAAUCACUGUGUCAGAGCGCAAGUCGGACCUUGGGCGGAACGCUCCCCUCCGCGCCUCCGCCUGAGCGGAUGGGCUCCCUUCGUAGACAGCCGCGCGCCGCAGCGAGAGCAGCUGGAAACAUUGGGCAAUAAUAUGCAUCAGCAGAGAAUUAACUACAGUGAAUGUGAACAAAUCGUUGUCGUCGCGAGAGAGGCGGUAACUGAGGAGAGGAAAGGAGAGGAGAGGCUGCCGCCCCUCUGCUCCGUGUGCCUGCAGGUUCCUUUCGGUUCGCGAGCGUAAGGAAAGAAGGCAGCUGUGGUGUUCGGAGGUGGCAUCCACGCUGCACGCGCUGUUGAGUUUGAAGCGUCACGGUUACAAACGCGUCGUGUUUGGUGAGCAGUGAGGAGUACGCGUGGUGUGUGUCAUAGUCCUGUAGCACUGGGCAGUAUCUGCACUCUGGGUAAAGCAGGGAGAAUGGCGACUUGUGUCCCUUCAGUGCCUUAUCACGGUGCGUGCGUCCGCGCGGGGCGUCGCGCUCGGGGCUGCACGGGGCGACAGGAGCGGCCUUAAGGAGGGCAGCGGGGAUGCGCCGGGGGCCGGUGCCGUGUUGGGCUUCAAAACGCCCUUGCCCUUUUUGCUACGACAGGUCAGGAAUAGGAGGAAGUGCCUGGGUGAGGGUCAGCCCGCUCCCGCUCCGUAGCGCUGGGCGAGGGCUGGGGCCGCGGCUCUGGGGGAGCGCCGUCGGCGUGCCGCGGCCCGGCACCGCGCAGACCCUGCGGCUGCUUUCGGUGUCACAUAGGAACCAAACGCUGGGGGAAGGAGCGGAGCCGCUCCCGAGGAUGGGAGGCGUGGGUGCUGGGGAGGCUGAGCGCGAAACACCCCGCCUCCACCAAGCGCGGGACAGCUGCGUCGGCCGUGUGUCAGUACUCUAUUUUGUAUAUUCAAAGAAAGAUAUAUAACGGGGACAAAUCCUAUAUCGUACCGGUGUAUGGCAUUAUUACAAAAAAAAAUCAUUAUUUUUAUCACAGUAAUUUUAAACAGCAUAAAAAAAUAAAAUUAAACCAGUGACUCCUGUUUAAAAAUGAAAGUUGUAGUUUUUUAUUCAUGCUGAAUAAUUCUGUAGUAACAAGUCUGUAGUUUUCACCGACUCAGUGAAAUGUUGGACUGUAAAAGCUUGUGUGGAAUUGUUGAGCAUUUAUUUUUUCAUUUAAAUUUGCUGUUCUGGUAAUACAAAGCCACACAUCUGUACAGAAGUUGCAGUAAAUGUGAGCCAUUUACAGCAAUGCCGAGUAAUGGACAGAAACCAUACAAUAAAAUUCUGCUUUUUUCAUUAAA